Molecule: long non-coding RNA, 204 nt
Filed under: Helicoverpa zea (corn earworm)
Lineage: Eukaryota; Metazoa; Arthropoda; Insecta; Lepidoptera; Noctuidae
Description: uncharacterized LOC124643010
Source: RNAcentral
GUUGUUUUAAUAGAACACUGGAUAUCUUAAGAUUACGUGACAACUCUGUUCCCACAUUAUUUUUGACACCCAAAGAAGGCCCCCAGGAGUCGUUGAAUAGCUUGAAAACGAUUGUAAAUUAUUGUAUUUUUUUUAAGACAGUAUCUACUUAUGGCGUUUCUUGCGGAUUCUUCUUCAUAAGACCGAAUCUUUGGCACCCUGCAA